RNAcentral lists this ribosomal RNA (452 nucleotides) under uncultured bacterium. Its description in RNAcentral is "bacterial SSU rRNA". It matches the Rfam family "Bacterial small subunit ribosomal RNA", at positions 340 to 786 of the family's 1533-position model. The record is from RNAcentral.
UACGGGAGGCAGCAGUGGGGAAUAUUGCACAAUGGGCGCAAGCCUGAUGCAGCCAUGCCGCGUGUAUGAAAAAGGCCUUCGGGUUGUAAAGUACUUUCAGUCGUGAGGAAGGUGUUAAGGUUAAUAACCUUAGCAAUUGACGUUAGCGACAGAAGAAGCACCGGCUAACUCCGUGCCAGCAGCCGCGGUAAUACGGAGGGUGCGAGCGUUAAUCGGAAUUACUGGGCUAAAGGGCACGCAGGCGGUUAAUUAAGUUGGAUGUGAAAUCCCCGGGCUUAACCUGGGAAUGGCAUUCAAGACUGGUUAGCUAGAGUCUUGUAGAGGGGGUAGAAUUCCAUGUGUAGCGGUGAAAUGCGUAGAGAUGUGGAGGAAUACCGGUGGCGAAGGCGGCCCCUGGACAAAGGCUGACGCUCAUGUGCGAAAGCGUGGGGAGCAAACAGGGAUUAGAUACC